UUUUUUUUUUUUUUUUUAAACUCUGAACUCACCUGAGAUUUCCAGCUGCUUUCACAGUCGUAAAGGCUGCUGUACUCUGGGAAGGAAAUAUACAAUUUUCAGAACUUACAGUCAAUAACUGUCUGUUUAUGUAAGCACAGGAUUGAUAGAUUAAUGUUUGGGUUACAUGUGCCCAGUGGGUAAAGGACCAGAUAAGGAGAGAGGAGCCUGGUGUCUUCUUUCAUCUCUCUCACCUGGUCAGGCUGUCACCCUUUCCCGCUGCUCCUGGAGUUCCUUCUCCUGAAUGCCGCUUAGUCACAUCACUCCACUGUUCCCACUUUCAGCAGCUCGAAGCACCUCUAGCUCAGAGUUGCAGUUCCUCCUCAGUGUGGCCUAAGAAGCCAUUCAUGACUUGGCUCCUUCACCUCUCCUCCUCCCACCAGUCCCCAGUCCACCUAACUCAGAAACAUGGUGUCCACCCAACCCCGUCACCAGAAGGCAGCACGACUGCUUCUGUCCUUACCGUUGUAGUUUUGAGCUGACAAGACCACUUUAGGCAUCACUGGGGAGGCAUCACCUGCCUUUCCCCAGCAGAACUAGUUAACCAGCAACCUCUGCUCUCCGGACACUGCACACUGCACAGGCUGGGCAGUGAUUGCCUCCCACGCUGGACUGCGAGUUCCCUCCUUUGGGGCAGCCUCGUUGAUCUCUGCACCCCUAGGUGUAUAUCCUCAAAUGAAUAAAUGCACCAGCCUUCUCUCAGAGGGUUGUAUAAGGAUUAAUAUUAGUAAAAGCUAAAAAUUACUGAGUAAUAUUGUUUGCCAGACACUGUUCUAAGCAUAGUAAAUAUAUUAACUCAUGAAUCCUCACAACUCUGAUAUAUUCUUAGUAUUUUAUAGAACAGGACAUUUUAAGACUAAGAUAAUACAGCUGGUAAGAGACAGAUGUGGAUCUCAAACCUAGGCCUUCCUGACUCCGGUGCCUUGUCCUUAACUAUGAUAUGUGUGUUCAAACUCCUGACCCAGAGCCAGGAGUUUUUGUCUUUGUUUUUUUCAUUAGGAGUAGCAUGAUGAAAAGGAAUGCUUAUCAAAUGUUGCUAUCUUCUCUUUUAAGUGAACUCAAGCCCCUGCCCCUCAACAAGCCUUCCCAAGCUACCCAGCUCCCUUUCGCUGACUCCUUUGUGUGUACAACUCACGUGGUCUUUGGCUGCUAUGAAUCUUUGGGGGGCUGUGUUUCCCCUGUUCCCAUGAGUGGUGAACUCCCCUUUGUGUAGCACAGUGCACCCUGCAUCCUUGUGUCCUCUUUAAGGCUGAUGGUGCCCCAAACAUGGAUGGAACAAGGACAGCAGAGUCCAUGGGCACAAGUGACAGGAGGGAGUGGGACAAGGCACCCUGGACACAGCCCAGGGAGGGAAAACAGAGGUGAGGGAAGGUACUGGCCCUGUGCCUACAGGCCUCUGGGAGUCCCUUGCUACCCUCUCCAGGAUCAAAGGUAAAAUUGAUGAGCCUUGGUGACUGGCUAGCCAUGGGAAUGAGAUCUUCACUGGAGGGAUCCAGGAAAACUAUGACUUCGUUGUGCUGCCUUCCACUGGGACAGGGGAUAUAGACGGAGCCGACUUAUGUGGAAAUGGGAGUUUGAUUUUGGACAUGCUGGGCUUAAGGUGAGAACUGGACAUCAUGGUUCCAUCUGCACUUGUAUGGAAGAAGAAUCUAGGUGUCUUUCCUUGAACCCUUUCCUUUGCUCCCUCUAG
Molecule: long non-coding RNA, 1729 nt
Filed under: Macaca fascicularis (crab-eating macaque)
Lineage: Eukaryota; Metazoa; Chordata; Mammalia; Primates; Cercopithecidae
Description: lncRNA (ENSMFAG00000052660.1)
Source: RNAcentral